UGCGUGCGUGCGAUUAAAUUAUAUUGAAAAUUUAUGUUGAAUUAACGUUGGAAAAUGGAAUUUCCUGCCUGUCGAUUGAGACCUGUGAAUGACGUGAAAAAUCUAGGAAGGGACCUAAAUUGACAUUCUAUCUGAAAUAUUACAUAAACCAAUAAAUAAACACGAAGAAUAUAGACACGAGCGUUAAAUAGAAUGUUGCGUUAUAUUCUGCAAUCAAGUUUCUCAUGGUCAAAUGUUCAAAUGAUUCAAAUGUUAGAUAAGAUGACGGAGGAAGAGGGGAAGGGAUCAUGCUCAUUUCCGCAGAAGAGCGAGGGUUCCAUGGCUCGAUUGCCUGCUUGCUCGCUCGUUCGCUCACACGACGCACGCAUGCACGCAUGCACGUACGCAUGCACGCCUCAUGCCGUGCCGUCCAAAAUGGCUGAUCGCUAAAAUUAGCGAGCGAACGAACGAACGAAUG
Molecule: long non-coding RNA, 457 nt
Organism: Pogonomyrmex barbatus (red harvester ant)
Lineage: Eukaryota; Metazoa; Arthropoda; Insecta; Hymenoptera; Formicidae
Source: RefSeq, a predicted model, not a curated record